This 1288-nucleotide long non-coding RNA is filed under the name Nicotiana tabacum (common tobacco). Its description in RNAcentral is "long non-coding RNA (NTAB_LNC012710)". Lineage: Eukaryota; Viridiplantae; Streptophyta; Magnoliopsida; Solanales; Solanaceae. The record is from RNAcentral.
UCCAUUGACCUUCUUGAUAAAGAUGUGUUAUGUGUACAUGGACUGAAAACUUCUACGACAUCUCUUCAAGCUACUGGUUGUGCCAGAAAUUCUUUUUUCUUUGUUUGUUCCUCCUGGUUGCUGCAUUAUAAAGAUAGACAAAAUAUUCAAAGAACAGCACAACUGAAAUAUGUAUGGCGUUCAACAAAGACAUAUUUCCAUGGUUCAGAAAUCCACAUAACUAGUCAUCACUGUCCAUAUUACUUUAUUUAAGUUUUUCUCAACUAAAUAUUUAUAAAACAUACAUUAAAAAUGACAACAAAAAAAAAGAAUUACAGAAGCUGAGUGCAGGGAAGGGGAGCUAUUCAAUUAUUCAUGACAUACGUUGGUAGCAAUAGAAAUUGGAAUUUUACCUGGUUUAUUGCAGAGUUCAAAGAAAAUUACCUGGUUUACUAGAUCAGAUUAAAAAAAUUAAAAAAUAUAUAUGCGGGGCGGGGCGGUUUUGCGCGGGGCGGUUAAAAACAGAAAAUUUUAUUUUGCGGGGCGGGUUGGAGUCUUCGCGGGUGUGCGCGGGUGUGCCCCGCAACUGCACCGCCCCGCACCGUUUGCCAUCCCUAAAUCACGGGUAUCUCCGAAAAAGCUAAACAUUUAAACUUUCCAAUUCAUGGUCUUUCAUUUGGCAUACGAGCAAAUAACUGGAAACCCAAUUCGAAAAAAAUGCUAACAAUUAGACUUCUCCAUUCAUGGCCUCUUAGUAACAUAUGAACAAACACCCAGUUUAGACAAAAAAUGACAAAAUAAGCGAGCUUAGAGAUGAAUUCAAUACAUCAAAACCCAGAAGAUCAAUUCGAAUUAAAAAGUUUCAGUCAAUGAGGGGUCAUCACUGGCCUUUGUUUUCCGAUGACGAGGUCAUUUCCUUUCGAUGGUUAAUAUCGGCGAUGUAUUGAAGAUGGUGAUUUGGAUGGGACCUUUUUUGCUGUUGAUUAUGGCUAUGGCAGUAGCCAUGGAGGUAGUAUUGGUGACAGCCAUAGAAGAGGAAGAUAGGAGGAAGAAACAGUCGGACGGGUUGAGAUCUGGAAGAGACGUGUGUGUGGGGCUUUUUAUUUUUGGGAGGGGGUUGUUUUCUGUUUUUUUCUUUUAAAUAUUACAAGUAUCUUAAAGUAUCUUUUUUGUUUGAGAGGAUAUGUGUCACAACUUCAUUGAUGCGUGAUAAUACACAUGUUUUGAAGAACUAGCCAAAAAAAAAUGAUAUGUCUUAGACACAGUCCGAAAAGAUUGAAUGUGUAAUAUAAUUUUUGUGGUUAGAAAG